RNAcentral lists this ribosomal RNA (254 nucleotides) under uncultured bacterium. Its description in RNAcentral is "partial 16S ribosomal RNA". It matches the Rfam family "Bacterial small subunit ribosomal RNA", at positions 524 to 776 of the family's 1533-position model. The record is from RNAcentral.
UACGUAGGGUCCGAGCGUUGUCCGGAAUUACUGGGCGUAAAGAGCUCGUAGGUGGUUUGUCGCGUUGUUCGUGAAAACUCACAGCUCAACUGUGGGCGUGCGAGCGAUACGGGCAGACUAGAGUACUGCAGGGGGAGACUGGAAUUCCUGGUGUAGCGGUGGAAUGCGCAGAUAUCAGGAGGAACACCGGUGGCGAAGGCGGCCCCCUGGGCCGGCCCUGACACUGAGACGCGAAGGCGUGGGGAGCGAACGGG